GAUGAAGAACGCAGCGAAAUGCGAUAAGUAAUGUGAAUUGCAGAAUUCCGUGAAUCAUCGAGUCUUUGAACGCACAUUGCGCCCCCUGGUAUUCCGGGGGGCAUGCCUGUCCGAGCGUCAUUGCUGCCCAUCAAGCACGGCUUGUGUGUUGGGUCCUCGUCCCCCCCGGGGGUCGUGCCCGAAAGGCAGCGGCGGCACCGCGUCCGGUCCUCGAGCGUAUGGGGCUUUGUCACCCGCUCUGCAGGCCCGGCCGGCGCUGGCCGACGCGAAAGCAACCAUUUUUUCUCCAGGUUGACCUCGGAUCAGGUAGGGAUACCCGCUGAACUUAAGCAUAUCAAAGCGGAGGA
RNAcentral lists this unclassified non-coding RNA (347 nucleotides) under soil metagenome. Its description in RNAcentral is "partial contains 5.8S ribosomal RNA, internal transcribed spacer 2, and large subunit ribosomal RNA". The stretch from base 1 to 120 matches the Rfam family "5.8S ribosomal RNA", at positions 35 to 154 of the family's 154-position model. The record is from RNAcentral.